This 198-nucleotide ribosomal RNA is filed under the name uncultured bacterium. RNAcentral's name for it is "partial 16S ribosomal RNA". It matches the Rfam family "Bacterial small subunit ribosomal RNA", at positions 328 to 539 of the family's 1533-position model. The record is from RNAcentral.
ACGCUCGACACCUACGGGAGCAGCAGUGGGGAAUAUUGCACAAUGGGGGAAACCCUGAUGCAGCGACGCCGCGUGAGCGAAGAAGUAUUUCGGUAUGUAAAGCUCUAUCAGCAGGGAAGAAGAAAGACGGUACCUGACUAAGAAGCCCCGGCUAACUACGUGCCAGCAGCAGCGGUAAUCUGAGCGGGCUGGCAAGGC